Molecule: long non-coding RNA, 14865 nt
Filed under: Homo sapiens (human)
Lineage: Eukaryota; Metazoa; Chordata; Mammalia; Primates; Hominidae
Description: HSALNT0065249
Source: RNAcentral
CCCGGCCCAAAAUGUAUUUCUUAAAGAAUAAGACUUGAAAGUCAAAAUUACUCCUUGAUCUGUGUGGCUGCAGAGUGAAUGUUGUGUUAGCAGGCAUAAAAACAACACUAAUCUCCUUGUACAUCUCCAUCAGAGUUCUUGGGCGACUAAGUGUCUUGUCAAUAAGCAGUAAUAUUUUGAGAAGAAUUUUUUUUUUCUGAAUAAUCGGCCUCAAUAGUGGGCUUAGAACACUCAGUAAACCAUAAACAGAUGUGCUGUCAUCCAGGCUCUGUUGCUCCAUUUACAGAACCCAGGCAGAGUAGAUUUAGCAUUGUUUUUAAGGGCCCUGGGAUUUUCAGAAUGGUAAAUGAGCACUGGCUUUAACUUAAAGUCACCAGCUGCCUUGGCUCCUAAUAAGAGCCAGCCUAUUACUUUAAAGCUUUUAAGCCAGGCAUUGACUUCUCCUCUCUAGUUGUGAAAGUCCCAGAUGACAUCUUCUUCCAAUAUAAGGCUGUUUCAUCUACACUGAAAACCUGUUGUUUAGUGUAGCCACCUUCAUCAAUUAUCUUAGCUGGAUCUUCUGGAUAACUUGCGGCAGCCUCUCCAUCAGCACUUGCUGCUUCACCCUGCAUUUUUAUGGUAUAGACAUAGCUUUCUUCCUUAAACCUCAUGAACAAACCUCUACAUCUUCUUCACCUCUCCCGCUUUCACAGAAUUGAAGAGAGUAAGGGCCUUGCACUGGAUUAGGCUUUGGCUUAGGGGAAUGUUGUGGCUAGUUUGAUCUUCCAUUCAGAUCACUAAGACUUUCUUCAUAUCAGCAAUAAAGCUGUUUUGCUUUCUUAUCAUUUGUGUGUGCACUGGAGUAGUACUUUUAACUUCCUUCAAGGACUUUUCCUUUGCAUUCACAGCUUAGUUAACUGAUGCAAGGCCUAGCUUUUGGCCUAUCUCAGCUUUCAAACUGCCUUCCUCACUAAGCUUAAUCAUUUCCCGCUUGUGAUUUAAAGUGAGAGAUACGAGACUCUUCCUUUUGCUUGAACACUUCGAGACCACUAUAGAGUCAUUAAUGGGCCUCAUUUCAAUAUUGUUGUGUCUCAGGGAAUAGGGAGGCCUAGGGAGAGGGAGAGAGAUGGGGGAAUGGCCAGGCGGUGGAGCAGUCAGAGCAUGCACAACAUUCAUUGAUUAAGUUGGUCAUCUAUAUAUGUGUGCAAUUCAUAGCACCCUGAUAGUAACAUUUGACCUUACAAUAGUAAUAUCGAGAGCACUGAUCACAGAUCACCAUCAUAGAUAUAAUAAUAAUGAAAAAGUUUGGAAUUUGUGAGAAUUGUUCAAAUGUGACACAGACAUGAAGUCAGCAAGUGCUGCUGGAAAAAUGGUGCCGAUAAACUUGCUUGACACAGGGUUGCCACAAACUUUUAAUUUGUAAAAAGCAUGUCUGCUAAGUGCAAUAAAGUGAAUAUCACAAUAAAGCAAGUCACACAAAUUUUGUGGUUUCCCAGUAAAUAUAAGUUAUGUUUACACAAUACUGUAGUCUGUUAAGUGUGCAAUGGAAUUAUGUCUUUAAAAAAAGCCAAUGUACAUACCUAAAUUAAAAAAUACUUUAUUGCUAAAAAAUGUUAAUGAUCAUUUGGGCCUUCAGUGAUAGUGAAUCUUUUUGCUGGUGGAGAUCUUACCUUGAUAUCAGCUGAUGGCUGCUGACUAAUCAGGGUGGUGGCUACCGAAGGCUGGGGUGGCUGUUGCGAUUUCUUAAAACAAGACAACAAUGAAGUUUGCUAGAUUAACUGUCUCUUCCUUUCACGAAAAAUUUCUCUAUAGCAUGGGAUGCUGUUUGAUAACAUUUUAUCGAUAAAAUGAGGUAUGACCAUCUGUAGAAUUUAAUAGUAUUAAUUGAGUUAAGUACAGUCUCUUCUUUUAUCUCCCCCUAUACUGAGAACUGACUUGUUGGGGGAGGGGUGUUGAAACGGUGAUUUUGAAAAAUAUAAUUGACUGUCUACACUUCAUGUAAGUUGAUAGGUUGGUUAAUAUUUGGUUUGAUGAUUUAUUUCUCAGAAAAUCAAGUACAUUUAAGAAAUCAACACCCAAGCCAUUUGUUGUGAUUUAGAUGUCAAGUAGAAGUCACUUAAAGAAAAUCAAGUCUGCCAUACAAUUUAAAAUUCCUGCAAGGAAUACAGAAUUCAAAUGACACCAGUGAAAUAUAACUUUAUUUUUUCAUUAUUUUUAUUUAAGUAUUUCGUUCUUAUCUUUUCCUACUUCUAAAUAAGACAUAACCUACAAAUGAACAUAAAGCAUUUCUUCUUGAAGCCAUCAUUUUAUUUCCUAGUGAAAAUAAACACUUAAAACAAUUAAAUUGCAAUAUUCCCUUAAUUGGCAACACAUUUGACAUUUAAAAAAUGUUUUCCCAUAAAUUCAUUUAACAUUUGCCUGGCUUAAAAAAAAUCAUCUCCUUUUUGUAUUUUAACUUUGAUGUCAAGUUCCAUCCAUACCAAACAAGAGGCAUAACUGCUUCUACGUGCAUUAUAAUCUAGCGACUUUCUGAUUGGUAGUAAAGUAAGGAAAUAUUACAUAUGACAUAAAGAAUGGUCUUUUGGCAUGUGAGCACUUGUAAAAUAGCAAAUAUAUUAGGUUUCUAUUAUGUUAGGUCACGAAUAUGAAUGGGGCAGAGGGGGCUUUAAGUUCACUAAUGCAUGGUCCACCUCAGAAGAAAGAUUAUCUGGUUUUCUUUUUGGAUGUGCUUCUCUUUGUCCAUGAUUACAGCCUAUUUCUUCAUGAAAUUAAAAGAUGCUAGCUUGUUUAUUAUCAGAAAACAAGUUAAUUAUUUGUACUGUUUGUGUAUAUCUAUAGAGGCUAAGUACACACAAUUACGACAACUCAAUUUUUCCUUUAGCUCUCUUCUAGUGCCUUUAUGAAGUCAAUGAAAGCACAUCCUACCUAUCCAAGGUUCUAAGGACUUUUCUGCUGGAGCUAUUUGUUCCAUACUAGCUAUUUACACUAACUGCCUAAUUAACCAGCAGAAACUCUGAUUCAUUCCUCUGGCCAAAUAAGGCAAUUUCCUUCCCUCCUUCUCAUCUGGUACAGGUGAAAUGUCCCAUAGCUUUAGAUCUGACAUUGUCAUUGCAAUGAUACUCUUUCCCUUCCUCUCUUUCCAAGUGCUAAAACCUGGGAACAUCUUUUUCAUAAUAGCUAAUGAAGAUUUCACAGGAAACAAGUCUCUUUUUAGAUCUAAAGUCUUAUAACAACUUCUUAAUGUGAAAUCACUGAGAUGCUUUAUUUUCAACUCAACUAUUGCAACCCCAUUCUCCUUUGAGCUGAGAAUGUUCUAAGAAUCUUGAUUAUGGAUGAUGAAUUAAAAAUUAUGGAGUUUAUCUCAGAGACCAGGAAACAUCACCUUCAUCCAUAAUUACUCUAAUAUUUGAGCCAGUAUUUAAAGACAGGCAAUUGGCAGUUGGCACAAGGUGGAAAUUAUUUUGGCAACUCGAGGGUUAAAUAUUAAUUGACCUAUUAGUUCUCAGUAUUCAUUUAUUUAAUCUCAGUUACACACCAUGACAAGCAGAUGAGUCUGAUGGCAAUGUCUUCACCAGCUUUCAGAAUUGUCCUUCCUGUGAACUUAGCUGCUCCUGAGCUGAUAGGAUCAGCAAACUUCCUGAAGCCUACCGGGAGACUGGUGAUGUUCAAAGAGUGGUUCAGGAAAACAAGAAAAGCAAAUGUUCUUAAUCUUUGAGGCAGAAGGAAGGGUAGGGAGAAAUUUUAAAAUACAGCAAGGAAUUAUUUCCCUGUCGAUUGUAUUUUGACAGGAAAGCAGAAUGUAUUCUUACAUUGUUUUUCUCUUUAAAGAUUUAUUUAAGGAAAACCCAUGUUCAAAAUUGGGCUGAUCAAAAGAGGGAAGAUAUUGAUCUUGUGAGUGGCAAAUGCCGAAACAUCAUCUGAGGAAUUAUAAAUUAAUCGGUUACGUAUCAAAUUAAUCUAGCAUUUAAAUUUAGACUCAGUAUGGCCAAUUAUUUAGCUAUAGUUAUAACAGAUACUCUUAAUGUUAUUGUUAGUGUUUGAAAGUGUGUAAUAGUGAUAGAAGAGAUCUACUACUUUCAUUCAGGUGGUCUCCAGGAACAACAUUAAUUUGGAAAGUGAUGUGUAAAUGCCACAUGUUUACUUAUAAAAUCUCUGUUCAUUUGUAUUCUAUUCAGUGCAGGUUACAUGGUUUGGAUCUUUUUGUUAGUGACAUCUUGACUCUGGGUUGAGAUUAUUUGAGAGAUAACUUACCAGCCUAUAGCAGGUAUUAUUGGGUUUACUUUGUCCUUAUCAGACUUAGGAGAAAUAAAAUAAACUUCCUUCUAUAGUUACUGGUGCAAAGAUUGAUCUAUAGUCACUAAUCAUCUUCAUGUGAUGAAUUCUUAGGGCAAAAACAGAAACGUUUACUCACAGUUUGCUUGAUACCAGAGCUGAAGUAACUUGAUUAUUCUUUUCUGGUUUAAAACAUGUUUUAAAUGACCAAAUGAAAGAAAAAAGCAAUUAGUAGUACUUUUUUUUUGCAUUACACAAUACUAGAUGAGUAAUACGUUAAGACUUUUGUACAAAUAUGUCUAGAAGGACACUCAUUUGUAAUAAUUAGUUAAUAGAACAUUCAGCAACAAAAUGUUCUGUUGGGAGACACACUUUAAUUUUUUCCAAAUCUCAUGUUCAUAAUUGUCCCCCACUGUUACCAAAUAAAUUAUAUUGUUAGAGCAAUACACUAAAAAACACAACACAUCUUUGUUACGGAAAACAUUUAACAGUCAAGUUGAAUUUCAUAAAAUAUUUUAUGACUAAAGUUGAGGGAAAAGGCACAAAGAAACAACACAAAUGAAAUUUAAAUUUAAUGAAUAUUCUGUUGUUGCCUGCCAGAGGGAAUAAAUAUUUUCAUAUUCAUUUUCUCUUUUAAGUAUACCUGGUAACUGUGUAACUUUCCCCUCCUCACUUCUAUUUGGUUCUCUUAUUCAUUAAGCUUUACUUAGGUAGAGGACCACACAAACAUACCAGCAUUUUGCUAAGUUGCACACAGCCACGUUAGAGGGAAAUAGUAAUUGAUCUGUAGCUCCUAGAUAUCUGGCUGUUGAUCUCAGUCAUACACAGAGAUUCUCAGUCAUACCCAGGAAACAAAAGGUCCAGAACAGUAGGGCUUUCUUUUGAAAGUAGCUGUAUGCUGGCUAUUAAAUGUUGAGGCUGGUUCUAUGCAAGGAAAUAGUUGUAUUUGCUCCUCCAAGGAAACCCCUUGUAUUUGUCGCAUUCCUACACUGAGAAAAGCAUUCUGGUGCUUUCUGAGAUAAUCAUAUGCUUCUCAGGGUUUUGUUAUGAUUUUUCUAUUAAGGCCAACUACGCGUAAUAUUGGUGGGCAUGGCUUAGAUCUGAUCAAAGUUGUGGUAAUACACAAUAAUGUCUAAACCCUUUUUGAUACCCUGCUGUAAAAAUGGGGAUGAGAAAUACCAUUUACUGAAGACCUGCUCUGUGACAGGCACUGCAUAUAUUGCAGAUACUGCAAAUAUAUUACAUAAACUAUCACACCACAACAACCUCAUGAGCUAGAUACCAUUAUUUUCCUUCCCAUUAUGCAGAUAAAGAAACUGAGACUCAGAUGUAUUAACUUUCCAAAAUUGUUUGAAUUGAGACCUUACACAACUCUGAUUAACUUGCCAACCGAUACCUAAAAAUAAAAGCCUCAGUUGGGUGGAAAAGCUCUGAAAAGCAUUUUCGUUCAAGACAGUUCAACAAACUACUGUAACUGGAAAAUUUUUCAGUUUGAAUAAGUCACUUGUUUAAAACAUGGGAUGAUUCCUGACCUUGCUUAAAGUGCUGAUAGAGUGGCCAGCCUGUGUUUUCGGCUGCUGCACCAGGUAAAUGGAAGUCCACUCACCACUCACUGUGUGUGACAGUCUAUUUUUUUCCCACCGUGGAGUUUUUAUGUUGAUGCUUCUCUAAAACUCUUUUUUCAGAGUGUGAGCAGGAUAAAAAUAUAAAAAUACAAGGAUACAAUAGUGUUUUAAGAAACACCCUAUUUGUUGUUCAAUGUUCAAAGUUUUUUCAUGGCCAGCAAAUACAGCAUGUUUUGUUAAGUCUUCCAGAAACAUCCAAGUCCUGGAUUACUUGUAUAUGAAGAUUGGUUAUAUACAAGCAUAUACUUAUUUGAUUCACCAAUAAGACCAAAUAAUUUGAUUCCCACAUAGACAAAAUUCUCCUAAAAUGCAAUUCAGGAUAAUCAUUCCUUCUCAGACUUUAUUUUUUCCCUCCUGUUAAAACCAAAAUGCAAACAGGACUGGGGGAAAAUUCUCUAGUCCAAAUAGACACGCAACAUGCAAACUGCUGUUGCAGUUUUGCAGACUGCUGUUAAAAAUGGCACCAUACAUAGGUAUACUUAAAGUAAAAUUUAAAAAAGUUCAUGGAAAACAAAACUAGAACAAACAUUUUCAUAGCACACUAAAAAUAAAUAAAUAAAUAUAUAUAUAAAUAAAUAAAAGGCACCAUUAAAAAAUCACAGCUCCUAGAGGCAGAUAAAACCUCAGACUGGGUUUAGUCAAGCAGGAUACCGAGAAAAUUUUUUCAAGGUUUUGGUAAUUUUACUUCCUUUUUGUCUGCCUACAAGACUUCCUUCUACCUCAAUGAGUGUUUAUUAUUAUUACUAUUAUCAUUUAACAUAACUGACACAAUUAGUCUUUUGAAAGAACAAUAAUGAGAUGGACAAGUGGGUCUCUGGCUUUUGGAGAGGGUUAUUAAUAAGUCAUUUGACACUAAUAGACUGGAAAAAUAAUUUGUGGCCCAUGUAAGUGAUAAAAUAUCCUUAAUUUGAAGACAUUGCUUAUAGCAAAUGUUUAGGAGUUGAGAACCCACAGGACUGUUCAAUAAUGAUAUUGAGUCUAAAUGCAAUUGUAAUAAGUAAUCUGUUGUUAUAAUGAUACCAGUUCCCAUUUAUUGAGGGCUUACUAUGCACAAAGCACUGUUCUAAGCACUGGCAUGCAUUAUCUCAUUAUACUUCACAACAGUCUCUAUGAGAGAGUACUAUUAUUGACCCCACUCUACAGAUGGUGAAAACAAGGCUUAGAGAGAUCAUCACUUGCUCAGUGCUACAGAGUCAGUUGUUAAGCUGAGAUUUAAACCCAGAUCUCUUUUACCCCAAAACCUGUUGGACUAAUCUACAACACAACUUUGCCUUCUGUACUCUGAAUCCUAAAAUAGUCAAGCUGAAAGCAACCUCUGAGACUGCAGUCCAGCCUCUUUCUUGUACAUAUGAGAAAAUUGAAGUUUUAAAAAGGAACUAUGUCUUUCUCAUCACCCUAAUAACAAAUUGGUGACUGAGCAGGCCUAGAACUCAGGUCUCUUGCCUUCAAUUCCAGAUAGAAUGCCAUUCUAUCAUUUAACAAAAUUUGCAUGACCCAGGAGACUAGAAGACUAGCUCUGCAGUUUAACACACACACACACACACACACACACACACACACACACACACACACACCAGAUAAAAUACCAAAGAGCUAAAUUCAGGUUGCUUCUGUGUUUUCUAACUUGCAGCUGCUUCAUUGCAGGAUCAUACAACACAUGAUGCGACAGGGACUUAAAGCCACACAUAAAACAUAUUAAAUGUAGUCAGCAGUGAUGAGAUUUGGUACCAAAUAAGAAGCUUUAAUUAAUUUUAAAUGGUGCUUUUCAUAGUGUCAAAAGCUCAGUCCACUGAAGUGGAAAAGGGGGUUGGAAUGGCCAGAUCCUAGCAACCCAGCUAAUCUGGGCCCUUCUGAGCAAGCUCAUUUGGAAUUCUUACAUCAGUGCAUCGGCACGCCGAGGUGGGGCUCAUGGGGACAAACAAAAUAGCAACCCCAACUCCGGCACUGCUCAGAAUCCCGCAUCCCGGGGAGGCCUGAGAGUUCAGCUGUAUUAAGGGGCCGUUGGAGUUUCCCUGUUAUUUGUCUACUUUUUGAGGAUUAGAACUUCCGCUGGGCUGUGUUCAUCUGUGCUGAGAAUUUAAACUCGGUGCAUGCAACAACAGGAACAGCGAGAUCUGCUAGAAACGUUCAAAAAGAAGUCUGUUGUGACUUUUAAAAGCUGUUAGAUGCACAAAGAGCAAUAAAUUGAAGGGUUUCUGAUUUCUUCGGGGAGUGUAUAUUGGGCAGUGAUUUCUUUUUCUAUUUCCUUCCCCCCACAUCAUGAGCCUUUGUUUCAAGGCUGCGACCGUACAGAUAUUCACCAUGUAGACCUAUUUGAGUAGCAUCGUUUUAGAAAGGCUGGUACACCCACACACACCCCCACACACAGGUGACCAGGAACCUUCUUUUUCUCUCCAUGACAUAGAAAUAGAAACUAUCGUUAUGGUCCUUCCUCCUAGAGGCCGCAGAACCAUGUAGUAAGAAGCAAACAGUAAGGACCAGUUGAGAUUUUCUGUGACCCAAUUCCCUGGCUUUACAGGUGAGGAAACUGAGGCUCAAUGUGCCAUGACAAGAAUGAGGACACGACUGCAGAUUUCUCUAUUUUCCUGUUCCUUUCAUUAUUACUCAGCUCAUCAUUUAUAGGUAUUGUUUAUAAGAACAGCAUAUAAAUAAGAGCCAGGUACCAGUUGGGAAUGUGACAUACUUACUGUUUUCAAUGUAGGGACUAUGUUAUGCAUACAUAUUGAUGACAAUAAUGAUAAAAAUUGUGACUAGUUCUUAACAAGUGAAGCAUUCAUUUGGGUCAACAAUCGUGGAUCAAAAAUAUUUUAUUUCUGCCUAUUACUUUAUCUUACAUAAAUGCACGGCUUGUCAUGUGAACGUAACUAACACAAAAUAAUUAUAAGUUUCUGAGGAUCAUCCAUUUAUUGACAAGAGUUAUAAGCUUUUUUCUUUUUCCCCAAACUCAGACGUGACUCUGUUUUGUCCUCUACAGAAAGAAACAGUAAAACAUCACCCAUUCCUCACCCAUGCUUUCUGUCCCUGUUGUAUGAACAGGGGUCUAGAAUCAAGACCAUCCUGCAGCCUAGGUGAUUUGCUAUUAGUGGUAGGAAUGUGCACAAAACAGUUUAGGCCAGCAUCCAAAAGCACAUAUCUGUUCAGUGAUCUAGUUCCUGAAAAGGAACUAGAAAUGAUCAGGUUUCCAUCACAGGAUUUUUAGAAACUUGAUAUUGGCAAGAUUGGAAAUAUUUUAAGGAGAUUCUUUUUAAGGUGUUCCUGUUUUUUCUACAUUUCUAGCCUAUAUCAAAUUAGAGUGAGAAAGAAAAGGAAAGAGCUAAGAGAAUAACAAUUGUACUUUGCAUUACAUUGAGGAACACUGAUUUUCUAGCAUUAAUUUUUAAUAUUUACUAAUGAAAAGUCACAGAAACUCAGGUAAACUCUUUAUUGAUGGUUUUAAACAUUUUUUUUCUUAGUAUACUUGAGAUACCCUUCACAGUUGUUUAAGUCAUUUCAUUAACUCUGUAUUGAGUAUCCCAAUAGGUUUUUCCCCUGCAAACAAUUGAAUUUUCUUUUCUACCUGUCCCUUUGCCUCCUUAAACACAAUCCAAAUAUGGGAUGCUGGUAUUAGUAUGGUUAUUACUGGACUUUUGAAAGCAUCUUUUUGGUCUUAUCUACCAAUCAUUCCACUCAGAAGAAAAAAGUUAAAUUGAAUGGAGCCUGCUUAUCUUGUUAAUAAUAGUAGCUCUCAUCAUAGAAAUAUUUUAUACAGUACUUAUUCAAUAUCUUCUGAGAGAUGUGUGUAUGUGUAUAAUAAUAUUUUUAAAAAUAAGAAAGUUCUUGGCAUAUAUGAAGUAUAAAACUACCAAAUAUUAAAAUAACUGAAUCAAUAGAAUUUAUAAAUAGAUAUCUGUUUUGCCCAUCUAUACCACUAAAAUGCAAAUAAUAUAUUAGUUAAAACUUAGAAUGGAAAGAAAAAUGAAAUUUAAAUGCUAAUCUGAAAACAUUCUUUGUUUGCAUGUAGGGAUGUGCAGUAUGAAACUGACUCUCUCAGCUCAGCCACUUAAUAACUAAGCAAGGAUUAAGGUAGCAGGUAAUAGAUCUUGUAAGUACAGAAAAUGGAGGGAGUUGUGGGAGUGAGUGUGGGGAGAAAUCCAAAAACGGUUUUGGAAAAGCAGUAACUUUGUACACACUUUGAUCAUUGCUGAGAAAAGGGUAAAGAACUUUUGUUAGCCUUAGAUAAGUUCAACAACAAGAGAGUAAAGGUUAAGAAUCCUACUUUCAGUUCUAGUGUGGAAUUAGAAGUCCAUUUGCCCAUCAAUACACAGGGGAUUUGCACAUGAGAAUGAAUGGGAGUUACAUGAUCAAAUCCUUCAGAGAUCUGUGAGAAAAUAAACUCUAGCAAGAAUAUUUGAACUAUCUUUUAUAAUAGAUGAAUCGUCAUAAUAGACAUGCUUAUAGGAAUUUUAAUAUUUCAAGAAUAAUGUAUAAGUACGUCUAAAUAGAUGUGUAUUUAUAUACCUCUAUAAAAUAUACGUAUAUAUUUGAAAUCUGCAUGUAUCUAUGUGAUUAUGCACUAAUUCUAGUCAGUAAAACAGCUCAUUAAGUGCUCCUAGUAGUUUGUGUGUGUGUGUGUGCUGUUUUGAGGACAUGAUUACAGCAUAUACGAUUUAAUUUAAACAAUUGAGAUAAUACUAUGGAAAAACUCAAAUGCACUUCAUAUGAAUUUUUCUUUUACUUUCUUUUUUUUCCCUGUUUUUUUAGUAGGCUCAACCAUGAAACACACAAAAAUAUGUUCAUUACAUUUUUUCUCAGAGGAGGCUUUUCAACAAUAGAUAAAGCAUCUCUAUUUUUCUUUAAAAAGACCAAAAGAAGCAAAUUUUCCAUUUUCCUUUACAAGCAACACUGGAUUUUCACAUGCAGAUUUUAGCAUAAAACAUCUUCUCACUGUGGGAAAAGUGGUGCAUUCUUGUACAAAUUAAGAUAGAUAAUUCUUAUACUAACACGCGUAUUAUAAUAUUAAAACAUAUACGGAGGUGGAUGGAAGGCUAGUGUUUAUUAGACUAUUUCAGCUCUUCAUAAUCUGUUUGCUUACUCCUAUAGCAACUUGUUGAUAAUAGGAAGUCUUUUGUGAGAAACGGCAUGAAAAACAAUAAAAAGCAUCAGAUUUAAUAAAGUAUCUAAGGAAAGUCUUAAAAUGACACCCACACUAUGAAGGGAAAGCCAAAUUUGCUUUUUCUGAGGGGAAUUUGUGUUCGUCAGGAAGGGUUCCUGGAGGCUUUGUUUUGAGGCCUUGAUGUGUGACCAGUGCGCUACGGGCCGCCCUUCACCCUUGCCCUUCUUCUACCACGGCUCUGCCCACCCAUACUGACACCGCAGGGGGAAGGGUUUCAGAGCAGAAAGAAUCAAAAGCUGAGGGACGGGGGAAAAAAAGUGCUUUUCAGGGUCUGAUGUGUGGGAAUCAAAUGAGAGGCCUAGCUCAAAUCCGGUCGCCAGGCAACCAAAGUGAUAUGCUGAGGGAAUAUCAUUAAAGUUGGAAAGUAAGCAGUCUCUCUGAAUUAGUAAACCAACCACAGGAUCGACGAUACACCGAACUCUCUCAGUGCUGGAGCGCAAUUUCUCCAAGGAGGACAAGCGGGGGGCUUUGCUAAGUGUAAGGGGGAAAGGAGAGGGAGAGGGAGUGAGAGAACGCAGCUGAUUUGUAGAGUUUUUUCAUAAAAAAAAGACAAUGGCUGUCCAGACAUGGAGUUGGUGGUGAAAUAUGGUAACUGCCACGGCUGCAGCUGGCUCUCUGACACAAGAUUAAUAAGUUGCCGUUUCCUAGCCGACCAGAACCUAGUGGGAACUAUCCAGCAUUUUAUCUUGAAUUGUGGGUAACAGCCUUACUGCAAGCUGGCCUAGUUUACUGCUCUGUUUUUUCCACAUCUCCCAAAGUGCAGCAAACAUCUGUGACUCUAAUGAGGUCAUCAUUGAGGGUGUCCAGCGAGCUGGGCCCUGAGAACUGACCUCACCUCUGCCUGAACAUAAAGUACAAGUGCUGUGGGGAAGCAGGACAAAUUAAAUGGGGGAGCUGGCACUUGGCUGUGAGUUAAGCUCUUAAGAAACUUUUUGCUGUGAUUAAAAAAGAGAGGGAGAGAGAGGGAGAGAGAGAGAGAGAGAUUGAGGUUCAGAAAUGACAGUACAACAAAGCAGUAGCAAGCCUACAGAAUUACAUUUAGGCCUCACUGAUGAAUAUUAUCACUGACAUGAACAAGCAAAGCUUAUCUAGGCCUUCCUUCUUGAAAGGCUGAAUAAAAUUGAAUUGCCAACUUCUGCAUUUUACCACAUUUUGGUGGAAAUGUCUCAGAGACCUACAUGAUUUAAAAGGAAACCUGGGAGAAUUCAACCACAAAGUGUAUAUAUGUGUUUCUGACAGCAAAAUUUCAAGCAUUAUAAACCAUGUCAUAUCAUUUAUAAGUAAUUUGAUUACAGACACAGAAAACAAAUCAAACUUCUCCAGAUAGGUCUUUCUUUUCCCUGCAGUUAUUCCAACAGAGGCAUGGUUUUUAUAAAUAACAUGACCAGGCAAACAUGCAAACACAACCCAAAACUGCAUUCAAACCAGUGAACUAUAAUAAUUUUGUUUAGUCAUCAGAGGAAAGAACAUUGAAGACGUGACUGUACCCACUGAUUUCUUAAAACAGUCCAUUUCAAUGGAGUGAGAAAUGUAAGCUUUCAAAAGGAAGAAAAAUGUUUUAAGUUUGGAAGAAAAAAAGCAUAUUUCUGAAAGUUUUCUCUAUCAUUUAAUAUGUAAGUGUAUCAGCCACAUGUUGAACAUGUAUUGUUCAUUUUAGCUACAUCUGCUCUCAGUGAGAACAGUCAUUCUUGAUUCCUAAAAAAAAAAAAUGGCUAUGUGGAUAAAGUCCAGAAGGAGAAAAAAAGAUGGAGGUCAUCUUCAAAACUCAUCUAGAAACCUUCAUUCAUAUGUAUUAACUCACUAUGUAUGCAGAUGUAUUUUUCCCUGGGAGCAAAUCCAUGAAGCCCAGAAUGACAUGUCACAGUACUUUUACAAAGAGUUUGAUUUUUAAAAAGUAGGCAUAUGACGAGAUUAAAUCUGGCAAGUUUUUAUCUUAUUAUUCUCAUAUUAUUAUCAGGCUCACUGCAGCCUUGACCUCCCUGGCUCAAGAAAUCCUUCUACCUCAGCCUACUGAAUAGCUGGGACUAUUGGCAUGCACCACUACCCCUGGCUAAUUUUUUAAAAAAUCGUUUUGUAGAGACAGAGUCUCACUAUGUUGCCCAGGCUGUUCUCAAAGUCCUGGGCUCAAGUGGUCCACCUGCCUUGGCUUCCUAAAGUGUUGGGAUUACAGGCAUGAGCCACUACACCCAGCCUCAGUAUUAUUAGACCAGAUCUGAUGCAAGAGAUACAGAGGACUUGCAAUAGAAAUGUAAUCACUUUCUCAAAAGCUAGAAAAUGUUAUACAAAACUUUUGUUUGACUAAAUAUGUAGUAUAGGUGGCUGGAGACUGAGAGGGCAAGAGCAGAUAGGCUAGAUAACAGAAAGUGUUAGCUAUUUCUGUUUGAUAUGAGCCUUUCCACUGUGAUAUCAAGAGGGAAAUCAAGGAGCUGUCCUAAACUUAAUUUAGAAAUAAUGGAUAUUAUGGAUUAGGAAUGAUUUUGAACAUGUGCUUUAAUGUAGGACAUUCAGGAUGGAGGGUUUAAACAGUAAUGCUAGAGAAAAGUUCUAGUGUUACCUGCAAGUCCCUCAAUUUGGACAGCAGAAAUCUAUCCCAUUACACUCUUUCUCAGUUUUCAGGAAGGGCCUGCCUAAUGCCCAUUUCAAGGCUGAGUUUAUUUUUUAAAUGCAAAUGAAGGAAGUGUUGCGUUCAGCUUUGCAAACAGUUUUCAGAAAUCCUGUUGGCCUACAUUUAGCUGGGAAGCAGCACCCAGUACCAAGUGUAGGGGCUCGAACAAUCAAGUAGUUGUUUGCCUCACUCACAUUCCUGAGGCAAUCUGGUUCCAGCUGAACUCCUUGGGAACAGUCUGGGCUAUGUACCCCUGGGGCAUCUGCCCCAAUUAGCAUUGACCCUUGUGGGCCUCCUUGCUGGCUCUAGGUUGCUCCCAACCUCUUGAACUCUGGGUAAACCAGAUUGCUUUAAGAGCCUCCAAAGCUUUCCACAGCCCCAAGAUGAACUGGACAUCCAGGCUCACCAACAGAAAUUCAGUCACCCUGUAGCGCCCAAAUCAACAUGGCCUCCUCCAGGUUCUCUGAGCCAGAGGAGAGACCCAUGUGUUGGGAUUAUUGCUAUGACUAAGAAACAAGAGGAAAGAAGGCUCAAAGAGUGCUUUGCCAGGCUAAACUCAGUAGUAUGUGGAAAGAGUACACAGGUCUAAAGCCUCACAGAACUAGGUUGGACUCUUGGACCUUCUCUAACUAGCUGGGUGACCUUGGCAAGUCACCAAACCCUAUCAAGCUUCAAUUUCCUCAUGUGUAAAAUGGGGACAAAGAUGUCUCUCCUGCAGUAUUUUUGCGAAAAUUAAAUGGUUUAAUGCAUGUAAACAUGUUCAGUAAAAUGUCUGGCUUAUAGUUGGCCCUCAGGAAAUGGGAGUUAAUUACAAAAAAUAAAAAAUAAAACCCAUCAUGUUUAACCAGGGCAAUACCACUCCUGAGAAAAUCCAGGCCCACACGAUUCUUGAAUUCCCUCUUUUUUGUUGUGGUUCAUGAUCCGUUUGUUACUACCUCUUCCUUUCUCAGAAAACAAAUAACCCACAACUAAUUUUUGUACCUCUCUCGUCCAGCACUUCCAGGAACUGUGGGGUUGACAGAAGGGAUAUGCAACAGGUUCUGCAUCCUUGAGGAUCUCACUGCAAGAACAGCACAGAAAGAGCAUGACCCAACUCAAGAGGAGUCUAGACAUCGAGUUGCACAAGACUGAGUGUGCACAAUGGGAUUGGAGAGAAGUAACGGCAUGGGCUGCCAUGAUCAGGGAAAGCUGCACAGAAGUGUUGGGUUUGGAGCUGGGGAGGUGAGAAGGUC